AUUGAACGCUGGCGGCAUGCUUUACACAUGCAAGUCGAACGGUAACAGGCCGCAAGGUGCUGACGAGUGGCGAACGGGUGAGUAAUGCAUCGGAACGUGCCCAGUCGUGGGGGAUAACGCAGCGAAAGCUGCGCUAAUACCGCAUACGAUCUAUGGAUGAAAGCGGGGGACCGUAAGGCCUCGCGCGAUUGGAGCGGCCGAUGUCAGAUUAGGUAGUUGGUGGGGUAAAGGCUCACCAAGCCAACGAUCUGUAGCUGGUCUGAGAGGACGACCAGCCACACUGGAACUGAGACACGGUCCAGACUCCUACGGGAGGCAGCAGUGGGGAAUUUUGGACAAUGGGCGAAAGCCUGAUCCAGCCAUGCCGCGUGAGUGAAGAAGGCCUUCGGGUU
This 392-nucleotide ribosomal RNA is filed under the name uncultured bacterium. RNAcentral's name for it is "bacterial SSU rRNA". It matches the Rfam family "Bacterial small subunit ribosomal RNA", at positions 30 to 424 of the family's 1533-position model. The record is from RNAcentral.